GUUUGCAUAACGGAGUUAUGGAGUCCCUCGCUUUAACCUUUUCUUGUUCAUCUCGUCCUUCCACCUA
Molecule: unclassified non-coding RNA, 67 nt
Filed under: Saccharolobus solfataricus
Lineage: Archaea; Thermoproteati; Thermoproteota; Thermoprotei; Sulfolobales; Sulfolobaceae
Source: RNAcentral